GACGAACGCUGGCGGCGUGCUUAACACAUGCAAGUCGAACGGAAAGGCCCGGCGCUUGUGGGGUGCUCGAGUGGCGAACGGGUGAGUAACACGUGAGUAACCUGCCCUUGACUGUGGGAUAACUUCAGGAAACUGGGGCUAAUACCGGAUAGGAUCUCCUGCUGCAUGGGGGGGGAUGGAAAGAUUCGGCGGUGGGGGAUGGUUUCGCGGCUUAUGCGCUUGUUGGUGGGGUAGUGGCAUACCAAGGCUUUGACGGGUAGCCGGCCUGAGAGGGUGACCGGCCACCUUGGGACUGAGAUACGGCCCAGUCUCCUACGGGCGGCAGCAGGGGGGAAUCUUGCACAAUGGGCGGAAGCCUGAUGCAGCGACGCCGCGUGCGGGAUGACGGCCUUCGGGUUGUAAACCGCUUUCGCCUGUGCCGAAGCGUGAGUGACGGUAAUGGGUAAAGAAGCACCGGCUAACUACGUG
Molecule: ribosomal RNA, 468 nt
Filed under: uncultured bacterium
Lineage: Bacteria
Description: partial 16S ribosomal RNA
Rfam family: Bacterial small subunit ribosomal RNA
Source: RNAcentral